GAUGAACGCUAGCGAUAGGCUUAACACAUGCAAGUCGAGGGGCAGCACAAGGUAGCUUGCUAUCUGGGUGGCGACCGGCGCACGGGUGCGUAACGCGUAUGCAACUUGCCCUAUACAGGAGGAUAACCCGUCGAAAGACGGACUAAUUCUGCGUAUGCUCACAACUUGGCAUCAAGUGGUGAGGAAAGAAAUUCGGUAUAGGAUAGGCAUGCGUCCCAUUAGCUUGUUGGUGAGGUAACGGCUCACCAAGGCAACGAUGGGUAGGGGAACUGAGAGGUUUAUCCCCCACACUGGUACUGAGACACGGACCAGACUCCUACGGGAGGCAGCAGUGAGGAAUAUUGGUCAAUGGGCGCGAGCCUGAACCAGCCAAGUCGCGUGAAGGAUGACUGUCUUAUGGAUUGUAAACUUCUUUUAUACGGGAAUAACAAGAGUCACGGGUGACUCCCUGCAUGUACCGUAUGAAUAAGCAUCGGCUAACUCCGUG
Molecule: ribosomal RNA, 487 nt
Filed under: uncultured bacterium
Lineage: Bacteria
Description: partial 16S ribosomal RNA
Rfam family: Bacterial small subunit ribosomal RNA
Source: RNAcentral